Molecule: unclassified non-coding RNA, 249 nt
Filed under: Hevea brasiliensis (rubber tree)
Lineage: Eukaryota; Viridiplantae; Streptophyta; Magnoliopsida; Malpighiales; Euphorbiaceae
Source: RNAcentral
CUUACCAAAGAGGUAACAAGCAAGGGCUGCAAUGAGGAUGAAGAGAAUCAAUGGUAGUGAUAUUACAAUCACAAAACCCAUUGAUUCAAGUUUUUCUUCAACCCUAAAGGCUUUAAAUUAAUUUCCUUGUUCUGACAACACCAAAAAAUUCAUAAACUGAUGGAUGAUCACCUCGUACUGAAACUGAAACUAAAACAGAACUUUAAUUUCUUCACUCUUUAAACUCUGAAAAAGAACAUUGGAUUUAGG